AAAGUUUAAUUAUGGCUUUAAAAAGUUAAUUUUAGAAAUCACAUAGUGUUAGUUAUUAUUUUUUUAGACAAUUUUAAUUCUUUCUUAUUGUCAAGGUCUAGUGAUGAGUAUUUUUUUUGAUAUUUAAUUAUGCUAAAGUCUAAAAUUUAUAUAGUGGAUAAUGCACAGUGCCAGCAUCCUCGGUUAUUCUGUAGCUAUAACUUUUUUCAUGUAUUUUAAUAUUGCUUUUUAUACCCUAUUAUAUUUUUAAGUAGAAUAUAGGGCUUAUACUAUUAAGUAAUCUUUAUUAAUCAACUUGUUAUCGGAGACAGGAAUUAGAGACUCAAUUAUCACAUGAUAAUAUUAAAAAUUUAGUGAAAACUAAAAUAAUUUGGCAGUCAAAAUCUCCACACUGGGGAUGGUGUGCCGUAAAAGAUGAUCCGCUUUUAAUUUAACCUUACUUAAUUAGUUGGUGUAUGUCCGGUUUAAUAUGGAUAAUCAAAGUCUAUAAUUUAAUGUAUAAAUAUUAUUUUUUUUUAAGUUAGGUCAACAUGCUGCUUAUAGUAAGGUCCGGUUAUUCCAUACAAUAAUAAUUAAAUUUUGAAAUAUCUAAAUUUAGAACUAGUGAGUAAAAUAAUUAAAAAUGAUUAUUUGAAUUGGUUAACUUUGAUGUACAUACCGCCCGUCAACCUCGACUAAAGUUGAGGUAAGUCGUAACAUGGUAGUCCUACAGGAAUGUGGGGCUAGAUA
Molecule: non-coding RNA, 729 nt
Filed under: Benedenia hoshinai
Lineage: Eukaryota; Metazoa; Platyhelminthes; Monogenea; Capsalidea; Capsalidae
Source: RNAcentral